Molecule: ribosomal RNA, 488 nt
Filed under: uncultured bacterium
Lineage: Bacteria
Description: bacterial SSU rRNA
Rfam family: Bacterial small subunit ribosomal RNA
Source: RNAcentral
GAGUUUGAUCCUGGCUCAGGAUGAACGCUGGCGGCGUGCCUAAUACAUGCAAGUCGAGCGAACAGAUAAGGAGCUUGCUCCUUUGAAGUUAGCGGCGGACGGGUGAGUAACACGUGGGUAACCUACCUAUAAGACUGGGAUAACUUCGGGAAACCGGAGCUAAUACCGGAUAACAUUUAGAACCGCAUGGUUCUAAAGUGAAAGAUGGUUUUGCUAUCACUUAUAGAUGGACCCGCGCCGUAUUAGCUAGUUGGUAAGGUAGCGGCUUACCAAGGCGACGAUACGUAGCCGACCUGAGAGGGUGAUCGGCCACACUGGAACUGAGACACGGUCCAGACUCCUACGGGAGGCAGCAGUAGGGAAUCUUCCGCAAUGGGCGAAAGCCUGACGGAGCAACGCCGCGUGAGUGAUGAAGGGUUUCGGCUCGUAAAACUCUGUUAUUAGGGAAGAACAAAUGUGUAAGUAACUGUGCACAUCUUGACGGUACC